This 73-nucleotide transfer RNA is filed under the name Eschrichtius robustus (grey whale). It matches the Rfam family "tRNA". From Rfam's summary of the family: Transfer RNA (tRNA) molecules are approximately 80 nucleotides in length. RNAcentral also lists the same sequence under 2 other names. The record is from Rfam by way of RNAcentral. Lineage: Eukaryota; Metazoa; Chordata; Mammalia; Artiodactyla; Eschrichtiidae.
UCCCUGGCAGUCCAGGGGUUAAGACUCGGCGCUUGCACUGCCGGGGGCCCAGGUUCAAUCCCUGGUUGGGGAA